Molecule: ribosomal RNA, 439 nt
Filed under: uncultured bacterium
Lineage: Bacteria
Description: partial 16S ribosomal RNA
Rfam family: Bacterial small subunit ribosomal RNA
Source: RNAcentral
CUACGGGAGGCACCAGUGGGGGAUAUUGCACAAUGGGCGAAAGCCUGAUGCAGCAACGCCGCGUGAAGGAUGACGGAUUUCGGUCUGUAAACUUCUAUCAGCAGGGAAGAAAAUGACGGUACCUGACUAAGAAGCCCCGGCUAACUACGUGCCAGCAGCCGCGGUAAUACGUAGGGGGCAAGCGUUAUCCGGAAUUACUGGGUGUAAAGGGUACGUAGGCGGCUGAUCAAGUCAGAUGUGAAAGCCCGGAGCUCAACUCCGGGAUUGCAUUUGAAACUGGUCGGCUAGAGUGCAGGAGAGGAAAGUGGAAUUCCUAGUGUAGCGGUGAAAUGCGUAGAUAUUAGGAAGAACACCAGUGGCGAAGGCGGCUUUCUGGACUGUAACUGACGCUGAGGUACGAAAGCGUGGGGAGCGAACAGGAUUAGAUACCCCCGUAGUC